UCGAAAUAUUCUCGCGUUGUCCAAAGACUGUCGAAAUAUUCUCGCGUUGUCCGAAGACUGACGAGUCAAUCCUUGCAUUGCCCAAAAGGCGGUCGAGGCUUUCUAUAAUUUUCAGUGUUUUAAUCGCAUUCGAAAAUUUUCUUUGUUACGGUCACGAAAAGUGCCGGUUAGACGCCAUUGGUAUCAAAUGCGUCGUUCGCGCUAAAAAGCAGUCGCCAUUUUUAUUUUUCUUAGUGCCUUUGUUUCCCGAGCUCACGAGUCGCGAGAUCCCCGCGCUUUCAAGAUGUCUACAGACACAUCGAUGGAACUCGUCAAGGCGAAAUUAAGUGAUUUAUCUCUUCUUCUCUUACGAGCUGAAGGAAGAAAAUACGGCAUCAUCCUACCAAGUCAAGAUAAGGAUAGAUGGAUAGAUGAGAUCUUAGAUCACAUAAUUAGACAAGAAAAGCUGCAAUUAGAAAAAAAUUCUGAGCAAACAGAGACGACAAUGAAGGAACAAAACCCAUCACAUUCCGAUGUAUCAGGUAAUUUGAAAGAAAAUCAUCCUAGUUCUAAUCUGUCUUUUAAAAUUGACUCACAGGACCAGGCAUCCACAAAUACACAGCCUCAAUCUUACUCCUCGUUGAAAGAACAAAUAGAAUUGCAAAAGGAACAAAUGGACCAGCAAAAAGACAUGCUGCAACAACUACAACUGCAUAUUACUACGCAGCCUCAAAGGUCAACCACUAUGCAGCAUUUAGUGCCAACACAUAUACAGCACCAAUGCUCUACAAGUUAUCCAAACCAAGGAUCCUCACCAGAGACGCCUCUGUUGAAUUACUACAAAGCUCAGGAGUCAUAUUCAGAAACUCCUCAAGUAACAGAUUAUGCAGACUCGCAGAUACCUGUUUUCUCACCACAAGGUAUGGUGCGACACAAAUUUCAAGAUACUAAUAAUAACCUUGUUCCAGAAAUGUCAUUCGCUGCCACAGCACAAUCCAUCAAAUUCUUAACGAAUUCCAUAUCUUCCUUUGGUGGUACGGAAGACGAAGACAUCUCCCUAUGGUUGGAAAAAAUAGAGACCAUUGCGGAUAAUUAUGGUCUGUCACCUAUUGUCAGAUUGUCAGCGGCUACCUCCAAACUUAAUAAAGUUGCUCGCCGCUGGAUGGAUUUGAGUCCGGGUAAUAUAAAUAAAUCCUGGGACACUUUUAAAGAUGCAAUCAUUCGAAGAUUCAAAAGGAGAAUCCUCUUCAACGUGGUAAUGCAGAAAAUAAAUGACAGAAAAUGGAAUUUCGCAUCAGAGAGUUUUCAAGAAUACGCCAUGGAUAAGCUUGCAUUAAUACAUCCACUCAGGCUUAAUAAUGAAGACACCAUCCAACUGUUAAUAAAUGGUAUUAACAAUCUUUCCAUUAAAUCAACAGCUGCCUAUAUACGUGCAGAGACAAUAGAUCAUUUUUUGGAGGAAAUGCACCAUAUCACUGAAGUGUGCAGAACCACUAAAACUGUUUCAAAAAAUGACAAAAGAAACAACCCCUCGAAGAAUAACGACUUCAAGGACAGCAACGGUUCCCCUAAAAAUGGACAGCAAAGAUUAUUCAUUUAAACGGAGUGCAGGCUCGUACUUCUAAAAUUUCACGAUAUAAUAACGGCAAUGUGCCCUACGAGCUACAGAUCCAGAGUAAUAUAACAAUCUCCAAUUUAGGGAAAUAUAAUAUGGAACGAACCAAUUUAAUCGAACCGGAACCUGUGGAGUUUUGUGAUGUAAUGAAUACAUCAUCAAGAGUUGCAUUAGAGGGCUAUAUAAAGUCCAAUUUUGGGCCAAUUUAUAAAACUAAUUUGAAUAAGAAAAUUGGAUGUGGAUCCAUCACUGAUGGGUACUUUAAAUUAGAAUUGAUCCACCGUACUUUUCAGUACGAAGUCUAAAAGACAUUAAGAAAUUAGAAGAGCGAAUGUCUUUGACUACUAUAAUAAAUGUUAAUCGCACGUUAAAGAAAAAAAAAUUUGAAGAAAAUUCAUCACAACAGAUAAAAAUUAUAUCAUCAUUAAAAGUAAUAAGUGUAAUCGGUGUGUGUGUACAAGGUAAGUCAAAAGUAUGUUUAAAAAAAUUGUGUAUUCUUGCAUAAAAAGGGACAAGUUCACAAAUUUUGAAAACAAUAUUUUUGAUUCACCUUAUAUCUGCGUAGAGAGAAACAGAGAGUGCAAACUUCUCCAUUUGUUUACAUAAACAGCUUCAGUAAGCAACCACUACGAAGUAGCAAAUAAAUGUAUAAAAAAUGUUUAAAACUCAUUUUAAAAGCUAU
Molecule: non-coding RNA, 2276 nt
Organism: Nylanderia fulva
Lineage: Eukaryota; Metazoa; Arthropoda; Insecta; Hymenoptera; Formicidae
Source: RefSeq, a predicted model, not a curated record